Molecule: transfer-messenger RNA, 365 nt
Filed under: chicken gut metagenome
Rfam family: transfer-messenger RNA
About the family: Bacterial tmRNA, also known as 10Sa RNA or SsrA, is named for its dual tRNA and mRNA-like properties.
Source: RNAcentral
GGGGAUGUAUUUGGUUUCGACAAUAAUUCUGAAGUAUGAAUAGCGAGUAGUGGAUGGUCGCUUCGGCCACUAUAAAAAAGCGAAAAUAAAAAUAAACGCUGAUAACGAUAGAGAAUUAGCAUACGCUGCUGCUUAGUUUUAAGCAGCCCGUCUUACUAAGACCUCCCACAGUUUUAGAUAAGGCGUUAGAUCGUGGGAUAACAAAUUUACUUUUUGUUGCAAAAGUAAAGGGUAAAUAAGCAACUACUUAAAAGAUAGAUUUGUUUGUUAAUUUACUUUUAAGGAAAAUUUAUAACAAACUGCACUCGGAGAAGUUCAUGUGGACGGAUUACUGGACAGGAGUUCGACUCUCCUCAUCUCCACCA